Molecule: ribosomal RNA, 253 nt
Filed under: uncultured bacterium
Lineage: Bacteria
Description: partial 16S ribosomal RNA
Rfam family: Bacterial small subunit ribosomal RNA
Source: RNAcentral
UACGUAGGGUGCAAGCGUUAAUCGGAAUUACUGGGCGUAAAGCGUGCGCAGGCGGUCUUGCAAGACAGAUGUGAAAUCCCCGGGCUCAACCUGGGAAUGGCAAUGGAUACUGGCAAGCUAGAGUGCGGUAGAGGGUAGUGGAAUUCCCGGUGUAGCGGUGAAAUGCGUAGAGAUCGGGAGGAACACCAGUGGCGAAGGCGGCUACCUGGACCAGCACUGACACUGAGGCACGAAAGCGUGGGGAGCAAACAGG